Olea europaea var. sylvestris is the source of this 3357-nucleotide long non-coding RNA. RefSeq lists it as uncharacterized. NCBI's taxonomy places the organism in Eukaryota, Viridiplantae, Streptophyta, Magnoliopsida, Lamiales, Oleaceae. The record is from RefSeq and is a predicted model, not a curated record. The transcript has 2 exons.
AGAUCGAUAAAAAAAAAUAUCGUUGUGAGGAGGGUGAUCUUCUUCCUGACCCCACUAUCUUUCGGCAAUUAGUUGGGAGCCUCAAUUACUUGACCAUCACUAGACUCGAUAUACCAUUCGCUGUCCAGCAAGUCAGUCAAUUUAUGCAAGCUCCUCGACAUCUCCAUCUUGGGGCUAUUCGCCGCAUCAUUAGGUAUCUUUAGGGUACUUCUCGUCGUUGAUUGUUUUUCCUGCUGGCUCUCAUAUUCAUCUUGUGACAUUCAAUGAUGCGGAUUGGGCUGGGUGUCCUGAUACUCGUCAUUCUGUUACAGGGUGGUGUAUGUUUCUAUGUGAUUCUUUAACUUCCUGGAAAAGUAAAAAGCAGGUCCAAGUGUCCAAAUCAUCGACUGAAUCUGAAUAUCGUGCCAUGUCCGUUGCUUGUUUUGGGAUUGUUUGGUUUCGUGGAUUGUUAGCUGAACUUGGCUUCUCUCAGUCUGACCCUACUCCUCUUCAUGCGGACAACACACAUGCUAUUCAGAUUACUGCUAAUCCGGUAUUCCAUGAGUGUACAAAGUAUAUCGAAAUGGAUUGUCACUCCAUUAGAGAGGCUUUCGAUACUGGUAUUAUUUCUCUUCCGCAUAUCUCCACUAAUCUUCAGAUCGCCGAUUCACCAAAGCCUUGACACGAUAAUGUCAUCUCUUUCUUGUUAGCAAGUUGAUGCUUAUUGACCACCCAACAUUAAUUUGAGGGGGGAUGUCAAUUGGAUAUGGACAUGUGCUGCACGAAUUUAAGGAAACUUAUUUACAGCCAACAAUUGAGAAAAAAUACCUUGUAUAUUAACUGUAGAUUUCCACUGUAAUUGGUACGAAUUUAGUGUCUCUAUGUACAGUACAGUGAUAGCUGAAUUUCAGCAUUGUAACGAGAUCUAUUGCUCCUAUUUAAACAAAGGAAUUCUCACAAUGUGGAUCAUCGAGUGAAAAGACAGAAAAUUUAUAGUAUUCUUGUCAAACCAUGCCUCCUAUAUAUCUGUAUAGGAUUGCUAUCAUCAAGUCGAUGGAGUUGUUAUUCUUGUUAGGUGCUCUAACAGAAGCAAAGUAAAUUGUCUGAUCCAUUUGGGCAAAAGAUGGCCAGGCUUCCACUGGAUCCUAUUUAUUCCUAGGCUUUCAUUAUUGCUGUGAAUUUGAUUGUUUGGAAGAAAUGUUAAUAGUUGUUGCAAUGCUUUCUGUGGAAUCUAUCUACUAUGCUCCCUGUGAAAAGUUGGAAGAGGUAUGGAUGUAUGACCUUCUAAAGUAUUGCGUUCGAUGAUAUGUGCUUUAAGAGCAUGUUUGGUGCACUCUACUAGACAUCGCUCGACUCAGUGGUACAAUAUGCACAGGAUUUUAACAGAAUGUUUGUCUGGCAAAUAUAUAUAUAUCUAUUUAGAGAGAUUUUGUCUUAACCUUGGGAUUUGGUGGAUGCACUUUAUUUUCUUAAUGCAAUACUUCACAGCUAGUUCUUUGCGAGCAGAUAUCUAAAACUCCUUUCUGUUUUGCAGUCUUGAAUUGCUUUGAGGCGCUUCUCAAGUCCGGAGGGGGAUCAUUUGACUUUGCUGAAUGUAUUUCGUGCUUCUGAUGAGUUCUUGUAGAAGAGCAACUUAGUGAACAGCAAUGAAAAAGCUGAAAAAAAUGUCAGAAAAUGGUGCAAGGAAAAUUUUAUCAAUGGCUGGUCCCUAAAGCAUGCUCGUGACAUCCACAGGUUGGUAAUGCCCACUUGGCCAGAAAUUAAUGGUAAACCUCGCAGUUACCUGAAUAAUACUCUUGAUUAUAAACUUCUUUUAAUUGAAAUUGCUCUAUAAUGUAUUAACAUGUCCAUUUUAUCAGGCUUCCUAAGAUUUAGUUUCAAACUGUGAUAUCUUAAAGACAGGCUAUACAAUAUUCUUUUGGCAUUAUUUCCUCCUUUUCUUUUAGCGGUUUUCUCCGAAUAAAGUUUCUCUAGAUGUCUAUUUCUAAGGUUCAUUUGGCACUUCAUUUAUAGUCAAAAACAGAGGAAUGCAGAACGAAUGGGUCUCCGUGUCACUUCAUGUGGAGACGACAUGCUUCCUUUUCGCAGGUGCCUAGCUGCUUCCUUUUUUCUUAAUGCAGCUUUGAAGCAGCCUGAUGGUACGUACAGGUAAAAGAAUACAUUUUUGGCAGUACUUCCCAUGGUGAUUUAAUUUACUUCAGAGGGCUUUGUCAAGUGGUCUUACGGUGCAAAUCCAUCCGUCGUCUGUUUUAUUCCGGAUGAAACCAGAGUGCUUAAUUUUUGAUGAAUUAGUCUGAACUAAUCAUAAUUAUAUUCGAAACAUUUCUAGAAUAGAUUACUUGUGGUUAGCUGAGCUGGCUCCUCAUUGUUAUGCCUUGAAGAAAUUGGAAUAAAAGUUCCAUCUGGGUAAAAGAACUAUUUGUGGUAUAUAUAUAUGUAAACUAGUCUUCUGUUAUUUGAGAUUCAAAAAAAAAUAUUCAAUCUGAAUUAGCUCGUUUGAAUUUAAAUGAACUUCAUGGUUCAAUGCCUUGGAUUUCAUUGGUUCAUUAUUACUUCCAAGUUCGAUUUUUCAUAUGAGACAAGCCUAAUCUUAAGAAAAGAAAGGUUUUGAUUCAUCCUUGCUUGAGAUUUCACCCAUUGUAUUACAAGUGAAAUUUCAGUAUUUGAAUCUCUCUUCUUUGAAACGGCUCGAGCUGAGUUCGUGGCCUCACCCUGUAGGCUGGGACAACAGAGAAAAUGUUAAGAGAGUUAUUGCGGCUGAUUUUUGUUCUUGAUAUGCUGAGGUUUAAUGUUUACUUUGUCUUGCAACAGGAAAGGUUCUUUGCUCCAUAUUAGGGGUUCUGAAGCUGGGCUUUCAUACUAGGAGGCAAUCUUUAUGGUUGCACAAAUUCAAUCAGCAUUUCAUGGAGAACGAGUUUUCAAGCCCCGAGAUGGGAUAAACUUGGUGAAUAUCUAGGAUGAGAUGUUUAAAUGCCUCUGCUUAGGAAGAUGGAUGGCUCGUUUGCAGUUGGCAUCGUACAUGAUGGAGAAUGCAUUUGCUUUAGCCAGUGGAUCUUCGUACCAUUCAAAAGAUCGUAGGACGCUGAAGCUAGUCUACGAGACAUUGAUAGCAUUAUCAAGAUCUCAAGGUUUCAUUUUUCGCUAUCUUGGUCUGUUUUUCUCUUCUACUGAACAAGGUACAAGGAAACAUUGUAUUUAUUGCAAGUGAAUUGUGGAAAAUGGCAUAACUGUGAAUGUAUAGCUUUUCUUGGGUACAAGGUUACAAGUGAUGCACACCUCUCAUUCAAGCAUAGCUUUUAAAGGCCAUGUAAUUCUAAACCAAAAUUAUUCUCGUAAUUUGUUAAAAUCCUUCUCCAUGUGAGGAAUGCCAUCACGCAA